This 422-nucleotide ribosomal RNA is filed under the name uncultured bacterium. Its description in RNAcentral is "bacterial SSU rRNA". It matches the Rfam family "Bacterial small subunit ribosomal RNA", at positions 355 to 774 of the family's 1533-position model. The record is from RNAcentral.
UAAGGAAUAUUGGUCAAUGGACGCAAGUCUGAACCAGCCAUGCCGCGUGGAGGAUUAAGGCCCUCUGGGUUGUAAACUUCUUUUAGACGGGACAAAACCCCUUUACGUGUAAAGGGUUGAUGGUACUGUCAGAAUAAGCAUCGGCUAACUUCGUGCCAGCAGCCGCGGUAAUACGAAGGAUGCAAGCGUUAUCCGGAAUUAUUGGGUUUAAAGGGUGCGUAAGCGGACUAAUAAGUCAGUGGUGAAAGCCUGCAGCUUAACUGCAGAAUUGCCAUUGAUACUGUUAGUCUUGAGUACAGUUGAGGUAGGCGGAAUGUGUCAUGUAGCGGUGAAAUGCUUAGAUAUGACACAGAACACCGAUUGCGAAGGCAGCUUGCUAAGCUGUAACUGACGCUGAGGCACGAAAGCGUGGGGAGCAAACA